AGGCAAGGCUGCCUUAAAAUCCAUCAAAAGCUUCAUCACAAAUGUCUGGGAACUGGAGAGCAUUGCAAUACAGGCAGCAUCAGAUGAAGGUCAGCUUAUGUACUUGCCAUUUGUGGAAGACAGCAUGAGCAGAUUAAACCCGAGCUCAUCCGUCUACAAGACUUUGGAGAGGGGCAAAAUCAGUCUUGAGAAGCUCAGGAGCUUCGCCUUUGAAGCUUCAAGCAGUGGUACCAUGAACUGGCUUCAGAGGUUUGAUGAGAUUUCUCUACUUUUUAAGUAUGGUCUGGAUACCACUCCUCUUUUUAUCUUGAUCUCUUUUUAUAGAAACAAAGACGCCAACAACAUCUUAGAGAGCAAAGCAG
This 362-nucleotide long non-coding RNA is filed under the name Selaginella moellendorffii. RNAcentral's name for it is "long non-coding RNA (SMOE_LNC002455)". Lineage: Eukaryota; Viridiplantae; Streptophyta; Lycopodiopsida; Selaginellales; Selaginellaceae. The record is from RNAcentral.